CACACUUAAUAUGAUCCCAUGUUUUUUUUGUUGCAGGUGUGUUCUAAAGGAAGACUAUUGAAGUAGAAGAAUAGACGUAUAUCUUGCUGUUUGAGUAGGUGUAUUCUAAAGGAAGAUGAUGAAGUUUGAUAGAAGAAUGGGCCCAUAUCUUACUAUUCCAGCGGGUUCAUGGAGAGCAUCUAAUGGAUUUUCUUGCACGAGCACGACCGGGGCGCUGGCCUUGGGCGUGAGCCCCGCGUACAGUACGAGAGCGGCCACCAGCCCUGCUUAUGGUGAAGGAAGAAGAGCAAGAGGAGGGUUGCCGCCGCCAUGGAGGCUCUCUGGUGUGCACACUGAGGAGAGGUCACCAUUAACGAGCGGGAUGAAGAGGCGUGCACAUGGUGGAGAGGUUGCCAUCAACGAGCAGGUGGUGGCGCAGAGCAGCGACGGAGGCGUGCGAAUCAGGGGAGAAGACGGCCCGAGCGUCCUCAUCGAGAGAAGUUGUAGACCUCCCCGCUGAAGAGCUGAUGGUGGCUAGCUCCACCCGCCUCAUUCAUUUUUUUCUCUUCCUCCUGAGCUGCAACUCACUGCUCUCCCUGAGUUCCUCCAUCUCUUAUCAUUGCCAUUUUUGCUGAUUGUGUCCUAAGUCAAUAUAUAUAUUUGUUGUUAUAGUAUUUCAGAGAUCUGUCAUUGAGCAUCUCCUUCACCUGAUUUCAUCUUCUUCCAUAAAAGUCUGCAGGACCAAGCAUUGAUUUCUGAUUUUAUUAUGGAAGCAUUGGAGGUGGAGGUAUGAAAACGUACAUAAUACAUACUUGUUUACUUUCUUUCAUUGUAAAGUGUACAUGUGGCUUCUCUUUUAUCCUGUUUAU
Lolium rigidum is the source of this 848-nucleotide long non-coding RNA. RefSeq lists it as uncharacterized. NCBI's taxonomy places the organism in Eukaryota, Viridiplantae, Streptophyta, Magnoliopsida, Poales, Poaceae. The transcript is spliced from 3 exons. The record is from RefSeq and is a predicted model, not a curated record.